RNAcentral lists this ribosomal RNA (492 nucleotides) under uncultured bacterium. RNAcentral's name for it is "partial 16S ribosomal RNA". It matches the Rfam family "Bacterial small subunit ribosomal RNA", at positions 30 to 507 of the family's 1533-position model. The record is from RNAcentral.
AUUGAACGCUGGCGGCAUGCUUUACACAUGCAAGUCGAACGGUAACAGGCCUUCGGGUGCUGACGAGUGGCGAACGGGUGAGUAAUGCAUCGGAACGUGCCCAGAGGUGGGGGAUAACGCAGCGAAAGCUGUGCUAAUACCGCAUGUGAUCUGAGGAUGAAAGCGGGGGACCAGGCAGCAAUGUUUGGCCUCGCGCCUUUGGAGCGGCCGAUGUCAGAUUAGGUAGUUGGUGGGGUAAAGGCCUACCAAGGCGACGAUCUGUAGCUGGUCUGAGAGGACGAACAGCCACACUGGGACUGAGACACGGCCCAGACUCCUACGGGAGGCAGCAGUGGGGAAUUUUGGACAAUGGGCGCAAGCCUGAUCCAGCAAUGUCGCGUGCGGGAAGAAGGCCUUCGGGUUGUAAACCGCUUUUGUACGGAACGAAAAGGCUCUGGCUAAUACCUGGGGCUGAUGACGGUACCGUAAGAAUAAGCACCGGCUAACUACGUG